Long non-coding RNA from Macrosteles quadrilineatus (aster leafhopper), 383 nucleotides. RefSeq lists it as uncharacterized. The record is from RefSeq and is a predicted model, not a curated record. The transcript is spliced from 3 exons. NCBI's taxonomy places the organism in Eukaryota, Metazoa, Arthropoda, Insecta, Hemiptera, Cicadellidae.
UAAAUCAAGUGUAUGAUAGUUACCUCAAGGGACAAAAGUGUUCGAGGAGCCCGACGUGGGGCAGGAUCCAGCUGCGUUAAAUCUCAUGCUACGUUUUUGAUUGGCAGACACCAGCACACCACUGUGAUAUUCCUGCAACAAGGAACAUCAAGGGGUUUAAAGGAUAUUCACCUUUGAGAUCAAGGAGCCAGACUUGGGGUAGGAUACAGCUGCAUUAGCAGACGCCAUCGUGAUAUGCCUACAACAAAGAUACGGUAUCAAACGUUUGCUACUCACCUGGCACCAAAGUGCUGAAGGAGAUGGACGUAGUGAAGGCUACAGUUGCGUUGAUUGUCAGACACCACAGUGAUAUGCCUGCAACAAUGCACGUCCAGAGGUUAGAC